RNAcentral lists this ribosomal RNA (254 nucleotides) under uncultured bacterium. RNAcentral's name for it is "partial 16S ribosomal RNA". It matches the Rfam family "Bacterial small subunit ribosomal RNA", at positions 524 to 776 of the family's 1533-position model. The record is from RNAcentral.
CACGUAGGGUGCGAGCGUUGUCCGGAAUUAUUGGGCGUAAAGAGCUCGUAGGCGGUGUGUCGCGUCGGCCGUGAAAACCUGCAGCUUAACUGUGGGCUUGCGGUCGAUACGGGCAUCACUGGAGUUCGGCAGGGGAGACUGGAAUUCCUGGUGUAGCGGUGAAAUGCGCAGAUAUCAGGAGGAACACCGGUGGCGAAGGCGGGUCUCUGGGCAGUAACUGACGCUGAGGAGCGAAAGCAUGGGGAGCGAACAGG